AGGGGCACCACCAGGAGUGGAGCCUGCGGCUUAAUUUGACUCAACACGGGAAACUCACCCGGCCCGGACACUGGAAGGAUUGACAGAUUGAGAGCUCUUCCUUGAUUCAGUGGGUGGUGGUGCAUGGCCGUUCUUAGUUGGUGGAGUGAUUUGUCUGGUUAAUUCCGAUAACGAACGAGACUCUAGCCUACUAAAUAGAUCGUCGGCUUACAAACGCCGGCGAGACUUCUUAGAGGGACAGGCGGUGAUUCAACCGCACGAAACAGAGCAAUAACAGGUCUGUGAUGCCCUUAGAUGUCCGGGGCCGCACGCGCGCUACACUGAAGUGAUCAGCGUGCUUUUUCAACCUACUCUGUCAAGAGUGGGGAACCCAAUGAACCUUCUUCGUGAUUGGGAUAGGGGAUUGUAAUUAUUCCCCUUGAACGAGGAAUUCCCAGUAAGCGCGAGUCAUAAGCUCGCGUUGAUUACGUCCCUGCCCUUUGUACACACCGCCCGUCGCUACUACCGAUUGAAUGUUUU
This 519-nucleotide ribosomal RNA is filed under the name uncultured eukaryote. RNAcentral's name for it is "SSU rRNA". It matches the Rfam family "Eukaryotic small subunit ribosomal RNA", at positions 1160 to 1699 of the family's 1831-position model. The record is from RNAcentral.